This is a long non-coding RNA of Magnolia sinica, 2681 nucleotides long. RefSeq lists it as uncharacterized. The record is from RefSeq and is a predicted model, not a curated record. The transcript is spliced from 2 exons. NCBI's taxonomy places the organism in Eukaryota, Viridiplantae, Streptophyta, Magnoliopsida, Magnoliales, Magnoliaceae.
AUUUUUUUUUUGUUGAAUAAAAAGGAAAAAAAGAAGAAGAAGGUGAGACUCAUCUGAAAAUCAGGGUGGGAGAUGUUCUUCCAGUGGUCGGGUAUCAUCUAAAGGCUAUCAGCCACAAUGGUGUCCUUAAUCUCGUCCAAGGUGGUCCAGUAUAAGUUACAAAAAUGUGCUGCAAACAGAUUGUCCUAAUGCCAUUUAUCUUCCCAAAACCUUUUCUUGCUAUCCAAAGAAUAAAGGAAUUGCCUUUGCUGAAUUCCUAUCUGAGCUUCAUUGCUUCAACAAACCAAAUUCCUUAUAUGAGGAUUCCUUUGUAAAUCACCCUCCUUCCUGCAUGCCAUACUUUAUGACAAUUACUUGAAUCCACGGAGAGUUAUCGUGGUUCGCAAACCUCCGUAACCACUUGCCAAUGAGUGCCCAAUUGAUGAUUAUUAAGUCCUUUAUGCCUAUAUGACCAUCGUCCUGAGGAUGGUAGGCUUCCUUCCAAUUAAACAAAUGAUAAGUAUUUUGAUCAAUGACAUGGAGUAACUUGGCAAAUUUGAGAGAGCUUCCUUUCUUCAUAAGAGUGAAUAUUCUACCUCCUAAUGACAGGUAUUUGCUUUUCCAUGCCGAAUGUUUUCAUUUCAAGUCACUCUAUCGCCAAGCGGACUUACUAAACCUCAUAUAUCACACAUGAAUUUUGAAAAGGAAAAAAAUUCUACUGAGACAACAAUAUAACACCAUUAUAUGGUUUAAAUAGUUAAGUAUUUAUUUGAAAGUGCAUUGGUGAUGGCGUUGCUAAUUGCAUGCUUUCCUUGAUGACAUAUUCGCAAUUUUCCAUUUUGCAUUGGAGGGGAAUGCUCCCGAGGCCAUAGAACUGACAGAACAGCUAGUGCAUGACCUUUAUUUUUCAUGAACGGGGGAGCACACCACUUAAUUUUUUUAAAAAAAUGGAGCAAAAGAGUAUAUCAAUUCAGAGGUGGAAAACAAAGAGCCCUCCCACCUCGAUACAACACAAAACUAUAUCUACAAUGCAGCUGAACAAAACCUUUAAAAAAAGAAAAAAAAAAAAAGCAAAAAAGAAAAAAAACAUCUGCAACACAAAGCAAGCAACCACACCAUCACCGUUAUCCAAAACUUCUCAAAAUCAAAAGCAAAACCACUAAACAUGGCAUCCAACAGCAACACUCAUGCCAUAACCCGCCAUCAGCCAACCAGAGACACCAAUAGAAGCUCAACCAGAAAGUUGCCAAGAAAUCACAUACACUGCAAACCUUAGCCAUAGUUUCACCUGACUGUUCCAAAGAGCAAACUGCUUCUAAUGUCACUGGGGAAAUUCUUCAUGUUCCGCACAAAUCUAUAUCCUUCCACACCACUUCGCAUCUUUUCUAAGACAUCUGCUACUGAUUUGUUCUCGUGAGGCUAUCCGACAUUGGUCCUUUGCUCAUUGGCUAGACUUGGACAUCUCACUUGACUGGCUUUUUCUAGCUUUCCCUGCAGCAUCCUUGAUCCGCUGCCAUUCAGGGCUAGAAUGAUGAAUGACUCUUGCCUGCAAUGCUCAGACUAAGUCAUUUAGGUAUACAAUUAGAUUGGUGCUCUAGCAAGGAAGAGGUUCUAGACUCCUCGAUAUGCACUGCUGUGUUCAAACUCCUAGCAAAUUUUCAACCUCAUAGCCCAGAGCUUCAGAUUGGGCCAGGAUCUGCUGCAGAAAAACAAGAAUUUGCAUUUUGAUCUCUAAAGCCUUCAUUUUGUUGAGCUUGUCAGCUCUAGAAAAUGGUGAGGGAAUCAUCAGAGUACCCUUUACGAAUUAUAAGUGAGGGAAUCAUCACAGUACCCUUUAUGAAUUAUACUCUUGCCCUUCAAUGGAAAGCAAUAUUCACCUUAACUUUCAUGGCAUCACAGAAGCUCUGGAGUCUGCUGAGGCCAAGUUGAUACCAUUUGGUAAUGUCGACAAAUAUGUGGAGAAACUGGAAAUACGUCUUAUACUAAUUCUCUCUUCUAAGUUUCUAGCUAUAUUCUUUUAUUUACCACAAACCAACAUAUGGGCGUGUCCAAUAUGUGGGAAUUGAUUUCUACAUCCCACUCUUAUUUAUUAUCCCACUCUUAUUUAUUGCAGCAUCCUUGAGUUUGGAUUGCUAAAUGACAGACAUAUAUUGGACCUAUAUUGUGCAAACUGAAAAUCUGAGAACCUAUGCAUAUUUGUGGGCUAAGGAUCAUAUAAUUCAUCUUUAAUACUAACUGUUUGUUUGAUCUGUGUAGCUUAGAUAACAACAUUCAGGAUACUUGAUCACAUGCAGUAAUUUAAAGAUUGAUGGUGUUGGUUGAUACUAUCUAUUUCGCUGGUUGGCAACACAAGAUAUGAGGGAAUUCUCUGAAGUCAAGAGUCUUAUUGUAGAAUGGGCCCAAGUUCAUGGGGCAAUUCAGGGGAUUUUCUAAGGGUUUUCUUUGAUGUUUUGGGAUGAUUGAUGGUCAACCGGUUGUAUCCUUCUCACUUUCGCCCUUUAAAAUGCAAUUAAUGUGGAGAAAUCAUAUGUGAUUGUACGGUGAUCUACGGAUUGUUCACACUCUUUCAUUUUGGUUUUUGAAUGUAAUACUUGUAUUGUAGGAUAUUUGAAUGAUAUUAUUUCAUUUUGGAUAAAUAAUUGUAUCACUUCUGUUAGACAAUGUAUAAUUUAGGCCUCUGUACAAUGGAGACUUAUUGUGCA